RNAcentral lists this ribosomal RNA (1486 nucleotides) under metagenome. RNAcentral describes it as "bacterial SSU rRNA". It matches the Rfam family "Bacterial small subunit ribosomal RNA". The record is from RNAcentral.
AGAGUUUGAUCCUGGCUCAGGAUGAACGCUAGCUACAGGCUUAACACAUGCAAGUCGAGGGGCAGCAUGGUCUUAGCUUGCUAAGGCCGAUGGCGACCGGCGCACGGGUGAGUAACACGUAUCCAACCUGCCGUCUACUCUUGGACAGCCUUCUGAAAGGAAGAUUAAUACAGGAUGGCAUCAUGAGUCCGCAUGUUCACAUGAUUAAAGGUAUUCCGGUAGACGAUGGGGAUGCGUUCCAUUAGAUAGUAGGCGGGGUAACGGCCCACCUAGUCUUCGAUGGAUAGGGGUUCUGAGAGGAAGGUCCCCCACAUUGGAACUGAGACACGGUCCUAACUCCUACGGGAGGCAGCAGUGAGGAAUAUUGGUCAAUGGGCGAGAGCCUGAACCAGCCAAGUAGCGUGAAGGAUGACUGCCCUAUGGGUUGUAAACUUCUUUUAUAAGGGAAUAAAGUCGGGUAUGCAUACCCGUUUGCAUGUACUUUAUGAAUAAGGAUCGGCUAACUCCGUGCCAGCAGCCGCGGUAAUACGGAGGAUCCGAGCGUUAUCCGGAUUUAUUGGGUUUAAAGGGAGCGUAGAUGGAUGUUUAAGUCAGUUGUGAAAGUUUGCGGCUCAACCGUAAAAUUGCAGUUGAUACUGGAUAUCUUGAGUGCAGUUGAGGCAGGCGGAAUUCGUGGUGUAGCGGUGAAAUGCUUAGAUAUCACGAAGAACUCCGAUUGCGAAGGCAGCCUGCUAAGCUGCAACUGACAUUGAGGCUCGAAAGUGUGGGUAUCAAACAGGAUUAGAUACCCUGGUAGUCCACACGGUAAACGAUGAAUACUCGCUGUUUGCGAUAUACAGCAAGCGGCCAAGCGAAAGCGUUAAGUAUUCCACCUGGGGAGUACGCCGGCAACGGUGAAACUCAAAGGAAUUGACGGGGGCCCGCACAAGCGGAGGAACAUGUGGUUUAAUUCGAUGAUACGCGAGGAACCUUACCCGGGCUUAAAUUGCAGAUGAAUUACGGUGAAAGCCGUAAGCCGCAAGGCAUCUGUGAAGGUGCUGCAUGGUUGUCGUCAGCUCGUGCCGUGAGGUGUCGGCUUAAGUGCCAUAACGAGCGCAACCCUUGUUGUCAGUUACUAACAGGUUCCGCUGAGGACUCUGACAAGACUGCCAUCGUAAGAUGUGAGGAAGGUGGGGAUGACGUCAAAUCAGCACGGCCCUUACGUCCGGGGCUACACACGUGUUACAAUGGGGGGUACAGAGGGCCGCUACCACGCGAGUGGAUGCCAAUCCCAAAAACCUCUCUCAGUUCGGACUGGAGUCUGCAACCCGACUCCACGAAGCUGGAUUCGCUAGUAAUCGCGCAUCAGCCACGGCGCGGUGAAUACGUUCCCGGGCCUUGUACUCACCGCCCGUCAAGCCAUGGGAGCCGGGGGUACCUGAAGUGCGUAACCGCGAGGAGCGCCCUAGGGUAAAACUGGUGACUGGGGCUAAGUCGUAACAAGGUA